UACGUGGGGUGCAAGCGUUAUCCGGAUUUAUUGGGCGUAAAGAGUUCGUAGGCGCCCUGAUGCAUCUUGUUUCAAAGACCCGAGCUUAACUCGGGGCAGGGGCAAGAGAUGAUCAGGGUUUAGAGUCUGUUAGGGGGUACUGGAACUGACAGUGUAGCAGUGAAAUGCGUUGAUAUUGUCAGGAACACCAAGGGCGAAGGCAGGUACCUGGGACACGACUGACGCUGAGGAACGAAAGCUAGGGGAGCGA
This 250-nucleotide ribosomal RNA is filed under the name uncultured bacterium. RNAcentral describes it as "partial 16S ribosomal RNA". It matches the Rfam family "Bacterial small subunit ribosomal RNA", at positions 524 to 771 of the family's 1533-position model. The record is from RNAcentral.